Molecule: small nuclear RNA, 106 nt
Organism: Phyllostomus discolor (pale spear-nosed bat)
Lineage: Eukaryota; Metazoa; Chordata; Mammalia; Chiroptera; Phyllostomidae
Source: RefSeq, a predicted model, not a curated record
AUGCUCGCUUCAGCAGCACAUGCACUAAAACUGGAACGAUACAGAGAGGAUUAGCAGGUCCCCGUGCAAGGAUGAUACACAAAUAUGUGAAGUGUUCCAUAUUUUU